UAUUGCACAAUGGGCGCAAGCCUGAUGCAGCAACGCCGCGUGAGGGACGAAGGCCUUCGGGUUGUAAACCUCUUUUAGUAGGGAAGAAGCGACUGGGUUUUCCUGGGAGUGACGGUACCUGCAGAAAAAGCACCGGCUAACUACGUGCCAGCAGCCGCGGUAAUACGUAGGGUGCAAGCGUUGUCCGGAAUUAUUGGGCGUAAAGAGCUCGUAGGCGGUUUGUCGCGUCUGCUGUGAAAACCCGAGGCUCAACCUCGGGCCUGCAGUGGGUACGGGCAGACUAGAGUGCGGUAGGGGAGAUUGGAAUUCCUGGUGUAGCGGUGGAAUGCGCAGAUAUCAGGAGGAACACCAAUGGCGAAGGCUGAUCUCUGGGCCGUAACUGACGCUGAGGAGCGAAAGCAUGGGGAGCGAACAGGAUUAGAUACCCUGGUAGUCCAUGCCGUAAACGUUGGGAACUAGAUGUGGGGACCAUUCCACGGUCUCCGUGUCGCAGCUAACGCAUUAAGUUCCCCGCCUGGGGAGUACGGCCGCAAGGCUAAAACUCAAAGGAAUUGACGGGGGCCCGCACAAGCGGCGGAGCAUGCGGAUUAAUUCGAUGCAACGCGAAGAACCUUACCAAGGCUUGACAUAUACCGGAAACGGCUGGAAACAGUCGCCCCGCAAGGUCGGUAUACAGGUGGUGCAUGGUUGUCGUCAGCUCGUGUCGUGAGAUGUUGGGUUAAGUCCCGCAACGAGCGCAACCCUCGUCCUAUGUUGCCAGCACGUAAUGGUGGGAACUCAUGGGAUACUGCCGGGGUCAACUCGGAGGAAGGUGGGGAUGACGUCAAAUCAUCAUGCCCCUUAUGUCUUGGGCUUCACGCAUGCUACAAUGGCCGGUACAAAGGGCUGCGAUACCGCAAGGU
This 902-nucleotide ribosomal RNA is filed under the name uncultured Cryobacterium sp. RNAcentral describes it as "bacterial SSU rRNA". It matches the Rfam family "Bacterial small subunit ribosomal RNA", at positions 362 to 1263 of the family's 1533-position model. The record is from RNAcentral. Lineage: Bacteria; Bacillati; Actinomycetota; Actinomycetes; Micrococcales; Microbacteriaceae.